GGAUGUGAGGGCGAUCUGGCUGCGACAUCUGUCACCCCGUUGAUCACCAGGGUUGAUUCAGCUGAUCUGGGUGGUUAGGUGGGUGUCCUCUUCCUCCCUCAUUGCUCCAUAUGCGUCCCUCCCGAAGCUGCACCGCAGUCGAAGAGGAUGACCAUCCCCAGUAGAGGAGGACCAGUCUUCGGUCAAGGGUAUAUCAGUAGCUGCACUCCUGUGUUAGAACCUCCAAACAAGCUCUCAAGGUCCAUUAGAUUUAAUGAAAACCAUAAGCCAGACCAUAAAUAGUGUGGCAUUUU
RNAcentral lists this small nuclear RNA (293 nucleotides) under Cebus imitator (Panamanian white-faced capuchin). RNAcentral's name for it is "7SK RNA (ENSCCAG00000004274.1)". It matches the Rfam family "7SK RNA". Rfam says of the family: 7SK was discovered as an abundant small nuclear RNA in the mid-70s but a possible function has only recently been suggested. Two independent studies have found that 7SK RNA binds the CDK9/cyclin T complex (known as elongation factor P-TEFb). Lineage: Eukaryota; Metazoa; Chordata; Mammalia; Primates; Cebidae. The record is from Rfam by way of RNAcentral.